RNA transcript from Olea europaea var. sylvestris, 1873 nucleotides. It is a transcript of the gene named pre-mRNA-processing protein 40C-like, with no coding region annotated. The transcript has 4 exons. NCBI's taxonomy places the organism in Eukaryota, Viridiplantae, Streptophyta, Magnoliopsida, Lamiales, Oleaceae. The record is from RefSeq and is a predicted model, not a curated record.
UAACCCGUACAAAGCCUGAGGCGAUAGCCGGAGCAACUUCUCAGUUCUCGCUUUCGCCGUCUCUCUCUGGUUUCGAUACUUGGAAGUAAAACUUAAAAUGGUAGAGCUGAGCUCUGUAUCUAGUUUGACUCCAAUUGCUCCUUCACAAGAUGCAUCUGAACCAAAACAAAACAGUGCUACUCUUUAUGGUGUUGUGCAACCUUCCUUCUCGUACUUGAAUGUGAACAAUCCACCUUCUAGAAGUUCACAGCAGUCAUCUGCUAGUCCGUCAUCUUCAGCAUCCAUUGCCAUUGAUUCUGCGUUGGUAUAUUGAGCAAAAAAUGAAGGAUUGUAAGCGGAGAAAAUCAAAGAAGAGAAGAAAGAGAAAGGGAGAAGGAUAUGUUUGCAGGAGUGGUUUGGUUUGUGGAGUGUGGAGCUUCACCAGAUGGAAGAGGUUUGGGGUUCAGGGUAUGUUGUGUAUUGGGUUACUGCGAAGAGGGGGUGGGGCUCCAGAAUGGUGGACGAUAACUAUUUUCGUAUUUGAUUUUUUAUUUCUUUUUGUGUUUGUAUCCUUUUAAGUAUUAGAAUACAAUUUUCUUUUUACACACACCAGAUUGAUGGACACCAUCCACGGGGACUACACAUGCCAAUAAGUGAAAGGUUGGGGAUAGCAUCUUGAAGAAACAAAGGUAGAGGAAAGAAGUGCAAAAAGAUGGUAAAGGUGAAGGCAAUUUAUUUGCCUUAAUAGACUAGCUAAUGCCACGAAGUGUAAAGCCAUUUCUUUGUUAUUUUCUCUUAAGAAAAAUUUCAGAAGCCUCUGCACAAAUAAUAUCGUGAAUAACCUAAUAAAGUAACGUUGAGUUCCAAAGAUAUAUGCUUUAUUCAAAUGUACUGAAAUUGAAUCGUUGUUUUAGCUACUUUGCGUGAAACUAGUACAUCAAUAUAUUGAGACAGAAUUUUGUCCAUGAAACGUUCAAUAUUCAUUGUGGUUGUGUUAUAUCCUUACACUUGUAUCUGUCAUCGCUGUUGAUGGAUUUCCACUUACUGACCAGAACAAUAAGUUAUGCUUGUAUCAAUUGAUAGUUUUGAUAUACUUUCCUGUUUGAUUUCCAUCAGUGGAGUUGUCCAACAGUCCAAGAUCAGAUGUUCGAAUGCUUGACAUAUCUGUUGAAAGGCUAUGAUAUUAGAAACAAAGUAAAGAAGAAAAUGAUAACUAGUUUGAACUUGAAAUGAUUAAGCCCUUGUCUGGGAGGGCUUCUCAGCAGAGAGGUGACCGUUGGCAACAAAUUUAUUACCGUUGCCAGCCAACAUUUUUGACCCAUCCUCUCACGGGUGGGUCCCAACUGACCACCCAAUGGUCAUAAUUGCAAUUUUAAUCAGGUUGAAAAAUCUGUGCCAGACAGCCCCUAAGAUAUUAUUGUAUACCAAUAAUUGGCUAGGAUUUUAUAUCCUUAAUAAAUGCAUCCUUCACUUCCUAAGGAUCUUGCUCAGUUGAUUUCCUGAUCAGUUUCUAUAUGAAGGGUCUGUAAGCUCUUUCUUCACUGUAAUGAUAUGAGAUGGCCUUUUUUUGCCAUCAUCUAAGAAGCUUUGGAUCUUUUCUUUGGUAGAUGAAAGAUAGCCUAAAAAGUGAUGCCAGAUACAAGGCUGUUAAGCACGAGGACAGAGAGAGGUCAUUUAAUGAAUAUAUAUCUGAGCAAAAGGCUGCUGAAAAAUUGAUAGAGGGGAAGGAAAAGACAAAGCAUGAUGAGGAGGAGAAACUGAAAGAAAGAGAACGAGCAUUAUGCAAGUGAAAAGAAAGAGUAGCAAGAAGUGGAGAGGGUGAGAACUAAAGCUCAUAGAACAGAGGCUGUUGAAUCUUAUAAAGCUUUAUUGGUAGAGACAAUAAAAGAUCCUC